This 395-nucleotide ribosomal RNA is filed under the name uncultured bacterium. Its description in RNAcentral is "bacterial SSU rRNA". It matches the Rfam family "Bacterial small subunit ribosomal RNA", at positions 30 to 428 of the family's 1533-position model. The record is from RNAcentral.
CGAACGCUGGCGGCGUGCUUAACACAUGCAAGUCGAGCGGUAAGGCCCUUUCGGGGGUACACGAGCGGCGAACGGGUGAGUAACACGUGGGUGACCUGCCCUCAGCUCUGGGAUAAGCCUGGGAAACCGGGUCUAAUACCGGAUAUGACUCCAUGACGCAUGUUGUGGGGUGGAAAGCCUUGUGCGGCUGAGGAUGGGCCCGCGGCCUAUCAGCUUGUUGGUGGGGUGAUGGCCUACCAAGGCGACGACGGGUAGCCGGCCUGAGAGGGCGACCGGCCACACUGGGACUGAGACACGGCCCAGACUCCUACGGGAGGCAGCAGUGGGGAAUCUUGCGCAAUGGGCGAAAGCCUGACGCAGCGACGCCGCGUGAGGGAUGACGGCCUCGGUUGUAA